AACGAACGCUGGCGGCGCGCUUAACACAUGCAAGUCGAGCGAGAAGGCGUAGCAAUACGCUUGUAAAGCGGCGAACGGGUGAGUAACACGUGGGUAACCUACCCUCGAGUGGGGAAUAACCAGCCGAAAGGUUGGCUAAUACCGCGUACGCUUCCGGUCCCACGGGGCCGGAAGGAAAGCCGUGCCGAGGGCAUGGCGCUCAAGGAUGGGCUCACGUCCUAUCAGCUUGUUGGUGAGGUAACGGCUCACCAAGGCUACGACGGGUAGCUGGUCUGAG
RNAcentral lists this ribosomal RNA (277 nucleotides) under uncultured bacterium. Its description in RNAcentral is "partial 16S ribosomal RNA". It matches the Rfam family "Bacterial small subunit ribosomal RNA", at positions 29 to 296 of the family's 1533-position model. The record is from RNAcentral.